Molecule: long non-coding RNA, 1458 nt
Organism: Rhea pennata
Lineage: Eukaryota; Metazoa; Chordata; Aves; Rheiformes; Rheidae
Exons: 4
Source: RefSeq, a predicted model, not a curated record
CGUAAAAAAUGAUAGCCUGCAGUUGCCUUCUUCAGGUGGCACGUCCGAACAGGAGGGAUGUCCAUGGUGGCGAGUAUGGAAUGCAGACUGGCACCGCGCGGGGAAAUUCCCCUCUGACAGACACCGGAGCCGUGCUGGCGGGUGAUAGGAAGCCUGGGGGCGCACGAAGAAGGCAGGCUGCGGGCUGUGUCAAUGAACCGAGAUGAGCGGCUGGAGGAGCAGCACUCGAGGUCUGCUUUAUGUCAUCUAAACGAUCCGUGCCGAAAGUGAAAAGUGCAGCUAUUCGCUUUGAGGCAGAAUCAACAGCUUCUGCCACAAAGUGUUUCCCCACUAAUUUAACGGCCAAACUCUUCCUCCCAGCUAGUUUUCGAUAUCCCGAGGCACCGCGAUUAUUACGACGUUUGCACGCUCCAGCUCCGAACCGCUGCUUGUGAGUACCCCUGAGUCAGCAGCCUCGCAGGUCACGCUAACCCUGCUCUUCCCCCGUACCGAUUUGAUCAGCCAGCAGAGUUUAUUGCGUGCAGCUGAAAGCCUUCAACCUCUUCUGUUCAUAGAAGGAGAAGAGUAAUGCGCGAUCCGCACACUGGCACCACGUGGGGUCCGCUCAGCGCCCGGCUGCUUCAGCUCACCGCCGCAGCGCUGUGUUGUACGUGUUCUUUCCCAAGCGUCGCCCAGCCCCGCUCAGCCAUCACAGCACAGGCCUGGAGGAAAAGAAGUUAGAAAGCAGAGCUGAUGAUGGACGUUUGAUUUCUGCAGCGUUGUGCCUGCUCGCAGAGAUGAUGUUCUCCACCUGCACGGCACGUAGCCCAAGCCACAGGACCGCUGCGUUUCACAGGAUGCGUAAGAGGACGAUGGAAGUGGGCUUCAGCUGAGGCAGCAUUAGCCUCCAGAUAACCGGUGAGAUUAACAAUGGAAUUUGGACCAGAAGUGCCAUGUAACAGACUGAUUGCUUGGAAUAUCCAGCCAUAUCUGUUGUAAGAGAAUUAAAUAAGCUGAUCCACUUCAUUUCUUGCUGAUUCAUCUGGCCUAGUAGCACCUGGAGAACACUAUUGUGCUAGAUGCGGUACAAACGUACAACAGAGAUGGUCCCUGCCCAUGUGAGCUUACAGCCUUCAGCCUAGCCUUUGCAUCGUCCUACUGCUGGAUUACCCACGCGUUCGUUCUCCUUACACACGUCUGCCAUCCAAGCUCUCUCGGGGCAAGGAGUUCAAACCCGCAAGUUUGAUUUCCUCAUUACCUCCAACAGAGAAAAGAUCAGGUAGGAGGGAAGUUUCACACAGCUGAACAACUUGCCCUUUCCUGAUGCGUAUUUCUCAAACUGACUGAGUCUUCAUGUGCUGUAGAUACCAAGCCUGUGGCCGAGCCAUGUGAGCUUCCUGAGAUCACUGUUGCUCCUCAAAGAGCUGUAGUUUCCUUGUUCCCAGUGUCCUCAGGGAGACAGAGGUGUUUGGAUAAAAG